GCUGGGUGUGGUGAUGCACACCUGUAAUCCCAGUGGUUUGGGAGGCUGAGGCAGGAGGAUGACAUGUUCAAAGCCAGCUUCAGCAAUUUAGUGAGGCCCUAAGAAACUUAGCGAGACCCUGUCUCUA
Molecule: small RNA, 127 nt
Filed under: Marmota monax (woodchuck)
Lineage: Eukaryota; Metazoa; Chordata; Mammalia; Rodentia; Sciuridae
Source: RNAcentral